AAGUUCAAUGUCAUUUCCAUCCAAUACCAAUUCAUCCUUAACUUUUUCAGAACGGACAACUGUAACCCCAUCAAGCAUAUCGACUUUCCUUACCUUUUUCUCGCCGAGAAAGUUCCUAAUCUCAAUAGACUUGUUCCCACCGGAGAUUGAAGCAUUGAUAGGAAAAUGUGCAUACACAAAACGCAUUUUGUAACGGUAUCCUUUAGUAACACCAGUGAUGAGAUUCUCAACGUGACUAAGUGCAGUUCGAAUAGCAGCAGUAGUCUUCCGAGAUCCAAACCAAGCAUCAAUUUUGAGCUUUUUCUUACCGGUUUCUUCAUCCUUUAUGAGCUGAAAAUCAAGGUUCAAGUGCUUGAAAUUGCGAGUCAGCUUUCCUCUAGGUCCUUCAACUUCAAUUUGCUUUGCUUUUACCUUGAUAGUUAUCCCGUCAGGGAUAUCCAUUGUCUCCGAUGAGAGUAUAGUCUUCAUUCUUCUUCUAUCUCUCGGCGAUUCUGCGGAGAAUCAGAAACCCUAGAAAAAUGGGAAUUUA
RNAcentral lists this unclassified non-coding RNA (529 nucleotides) under Hevea brasiliensis (rubber tree). Lineage: Eukaryota; Viridiplantae; Streptophyta; Magnoliopsida; Malpighiales; Euphorbiaceae. The record is from RNAcentral.